CAGUAUUGUAUAGCUUUCAGCAUACAACUCCUGUAUAUGUUUUGUUAAAUUUAUACCCAAGUAUCCCCCUUUUGGGAGCAACUGUAAGUGGUACCGUAUUUUUAAUUUUGGUGUCCAUGUGUUCAUUGCUGUCACAAUGGAUUACAAUAGCUCCAUUAUGUCACAAUAGAUUUUUGUAUGUUUAUCUGGUACCCUGUGAAACAAAGUUACUCAUUAGUUCUAGAAGUUUCUUCUUUUUUUAGUAGAGUCCUAGAGAUUUUCUAUGUAGACCAUCAUGUUAUCUGCACAUUGGGGCCGUUUUUCUUUUCUUAUCUGUCUGCUUUUGAUUUCCUUUUUCUUGCCUUGUUGCACUGGCUGAAACUUUCAGAACUAUGCUGAGUAAGAGUGGCGCUCUCUCGGAGUUGUGGGAACACCAGGCCUGGACAUCCAGUCCGGGAGUGGAACCAGCGGCGGGGCCACUCGCUUGGAAGAGUGGAUGGAGUCUGAGAUGAUUGCAGAGACGUGGGCACCAGGCAGAGUGCUGCCUCUUCUUGCUGUAUGAUUUUGGACAAGUUGCUGUACCUCUCUGGGCCUCAACUCUGGGAUGCUCAUGUGAGGGAUGAUCUUGCAAGACUUGCGGUAUCCUGAGCCCCUUCUUUUGCCCUGCAGUUCUGGAAUUCCACUGUUGUGUUCUAUUCCUUUGGUCCCUGAAUAACUGGAGCCCCGGAUGGUGCUGCUGUGAGGGUACCAGGGAACAGGUGGGAGAGAGCCAGGCAGGGGCAGAGAGUGGACAAGCCCAGCAGCUCAGGCAAGGGUCUUGGGUCCCAGCCUCCUCCUCUUUCACACUCUCUCAACUCAGGAGUCAAUGAUUCACAAGCAGAGGCCAGCCCCAGCCCCAGCAGCUCCCGGCUCCACAUCAACAUGCAGUGGGGGGAAGUGAGUGAAUGGUCCCCGGCCUCUGGUGGCUGGUGCCCUCGACAGUGUGAAAGGUUGUUGGGCAGCCCUCGAGUUUGGCUGGGGCAGCCCCCAGGCAAGGGUGCCCGGCUUCUCUGCCCACGCCCUCCUCAGGCCCUGCACCAGCCAGCUAAGUGAGUCAGCUCUGUGUGUGUGCACCCCCACCCGCAGAUCAGGCCUGACUUAUCACAUGUCCCCACAGUCUGACACAGUGCUGGAUGCACGCAUGUGCCCCAGGGACAUCCACUGGAUGGAGUCCACGCACCCUCUCAGCCCUGGAAGGCAGGAGGCUUGGUCCCAAGAGGCGUGCCCAUGAGCCAGGCUCCUUCCUGGCCCUCAGUGACCAUAUCUGUGAAAUGGGGGUGGUGGUCGGGCUCAUGAGCUCAGGAGCCCUUUCUGCUGUUACGCUCUGCAGGUCUCUCUGCUUCAGCAGGAGAGCGGCUGGAGCCUGCAGUGCGAGCACGAGGGAGCCACGCCUGUCUCACUUAUGCCAUGUGCGCAGUGACUCGGACAGGGCUGGCACACAGCAGGUGCUCAGUUAAUGUCUGUGGAGGAGGGGAAGGAAGGGAGGAGGGGGAGAGAGAGAGACGGGAGUCGGGCUGGGGCGUGCAGCCCCAUCGGCUGGCUCUGCCCCUGGUCUGUCCCCUGCCGCCCCAGCUGGCUCCUGCCCAGCCCUCUGCUGCUGUCCUUCUGCGGCCUUUCCCCUCCUCCUGCUGGACCGUCCUGGCAGGGAUGCUGGGGAGGGUGCACUGGACGAAGCUCCCUAGGAAACAGAUCUCCCUUCUGCAGACCAGGGAGAUUCCGCUGCGAUUCUCCAGCCCCCCUGCUCUGAGGAGCCCCCGGGUAGCAGGAGGUUCUCAAAGCUGGGCACCCCAAGCCAUGAACCUCACCCCCCUGAAGCCCCGUGGAAGGCAUGCCAUCUGGGAAGAGCAUACAGCCCAGAGGCAUUUCCUUCCCCACCCUGGACAUGAACACUGUUCCCCUCGGCUGCAGGGUCUUGGCUGGCAUGCUGGUGGGGAGGACAUGGGGACAAGGUGGGCCCUAGCUUAGAACCCAAGCCUUGGGGGGCUUUAGACUCAAGAGGGAACCUUGGAGAUCUACCAGCAGGCUGCUUAACCCCAGAGGAAGCAGGGAUCCCAGAGAGGCUGCUGACUCACCCAGUGACUGAAUAUUCCCAUUUUACAGAAGAGAAAAUGAAGUCUUAGAGACGAGACAUGACCUCCCGGGGUUACACCGUAGCAGCAGAGCUCUGCCUGGAGCCCAAAUCUCUGAGCUCCUAACUCCCAGUUCUAUUCCAUGACACUCUGCUGGUCACAUUUACGUGCAUGACUUUCUACAAAGUAGUUAUGAUUUUCCCUGUUUUCCAGAUGAGAAAACUGAAGCUCAGAACAGGGACACACUUGGCAAAUAAUUAUGCCUUCAUGUGUGCUGAGAUCAGAGGCAAAGGGCCAGUGGAGGCCGGGGCCCAGCUCCUCCAGGAAGGCCCCAUGGAGGGUUUCCCUUCCCAAGGUCUUACUGCACUUGUUCUCAGGGCUUGAAAAAGAAAAGAAGGGGACGAAGGGAGCAAGGGAGCAUUCAGAAAACACCCACUCCUUGCUGAGCGCUGUGCAGGUGCUGCCGGGAUCCUCAGGGACGCCCUGUGAGGGCUCAUUCUACAGAGGAGGCAACUGAGGUGCGGGGGGGCUCAGGGCCAAACCCUGUAUGACUGCCACAUUCACUGUGCUUUUCUCCCUUAUUCAGUCCUAUAGUCUGUUAUUCUAGAAUCAUCUCCUGGGGCUGUCUUGUCUCUGUGAUUCAGCUCUAAGUCCAUGGACUAUAGAAAUCCUGUCCUUGUGUGCGCGCCCUGCAGCUGACCAGGGCUUGGCCCAGGGGGACAGUCAGCAAGGACUCAAGGCCUGGAGAAGGCAGGCAUGGAGUAGAGGCAGCAUGGGGCGCUGAGCAGGCAGGCGGUCGAUCCCCCAACUGCCACUUCCUAGCAUAGUGACCUCGGGCUCUUAGUUCAUCUCUCAGACCCUCAGCUUCCUCAUCUACAAAAUGGGGAUGGUAAUAACCCCCAGUCUCAGGCUCACAGUGUGAAGUUCGGGGGAGGUGACGAGUUAGGAGUGUCGAGCGCCUGGAACCUGGCACAUAGGGGUGCACAGGCUGAAGCAGCAUUGGCUCUCAUCAGCUCGCUCAUUUCCCGGGGCAUCUCCGGGGGUGGCCCCCUAUGCCCAGCUACAAGCAGGCCCUCCCAUCCCGGAGGAAGCCUGCCUCUCCCUGGCCCAGUGUAUGCAGGGGCCUGGAUCUAGCUGAGGGGCACACGGGGGCCUGUUUGUCUUUGUGUCGCUAGCUGUGGGUGGCAGCUGUGAAAAUGGCACUCCAAGUGUGCCCCUGGCCCGCCUCCAGACUGUUAAUCCUGAGAGCCGAGGCCAGCUUCCCUGGCGCCUCCAGAUGCCCAGAGGGAGGCAAGGAGCUCAGUGGAGAAGAAGGCGUUGGCCUCCCUGGGCUUGCCCUGAGCUGGGAGGAGCCCUGGGGAGGAGUCCUGAGAGAUGAGCUCCCGGCUGCACAGCCAAGGCGGAGCGGGCGGUUGCCGAGGGGAGCAGAGCCCAGCCAUGGAGAAGUGGCUGUCAUGUCCCAAUCACCAAAGUGUCAGCUGCCAGACCCCAGUUGUGAUGGAGGAGAAAGCUGGGGGAGGGAGACGGGGUGCAGCCCAAGUCAGCCAUCAGGAGCUGGGGUGGGGGCUUGUCCACAGGAGCUGAGCUUGCAGCGAGUUCCCCCAACCUUCAGUCUUAAGUGGCAAGGGCUCAAACCAAGCAGACCUCUCAAAGCCGAGUUUGGGCCUGUCUGAGGCAGGAGUGCUCAGAGCUGUGGGUUUUCUUCUUUGCACUGAAUUAUCCCCCGGGGAGAGGUGAGGAGGGGGCACAGAGUUUCCUCCCCCCAUGGCAAAUGCAGCGCAGGACCAUCUGUGGAUAUAUCUGCUCCCGUCCCUUUCCCCGGCCUCCCCUGCUGUGCUGUUCCCUCUGCUCCAACUACUCUUGGCCCUUUUCUGUCCCACUGAGUAAACCAAGGGCGUUCUCUCCUCCGGGCUUCUGCUAGGAAUGCUCUGAACCUGAUUUUUACGCAGGGGACUUUCUUAUCAUGACCACCCAGCUCCUGCCGGCCUCCUUCCCCAGGCCCUCUUUUAUGAUCUCCCAAGCACGGAUCUCCA
RNAcentral lists this long non-coding RNA (4120 nucleotides) under Equus caballus (horse). Its description in RNAcentral is "lncRNA (ENSECAG00000054641.1)". The record is from RNAcentral. Lineage: Eukaryota; Metazoa; Chordata; Mammalia; Perissodactyla; Equidae.